ACGCUGGCGGCGUGCCUAAUACAUGCAAGUAGAACGCACAGUUUAUACCGUAGCUUGCUACACCAUAGACUGUGAGUUGCGAACGGGUGAGUAACGCGUAGGUAACCUGCCUAUUAGAGGGGGAUAACUAUUGGAAACGAUAGCUAAUACCGCAUAACAGUAUGUAACACAUGUUAGAUGCUUGAAAGAUGCAAUUGCAUCGCUAGUAGAUGGACCUGCGUUGUAUUAGCUAGUAGGUAGGGUAAAGGCCUACCUAGGCAACGAUACAUAGCCGACCUGAGAGGGUGAUCGGCCACACUGGGACUGAGACACGGCCCAGACUCCUACGGGAGGCAGCAGUAGGGAAUCUUCGGCAAUGGGGGGAACCCUGACCGAGCAACGCCGCGUGAGUGAAGAAGGUUUUCGGAUCGUAAAGCUCUGUUGUUAAGGAAGAACGAGUGUGAGAAUGGAAAGUUCAUACUGUGACGGUACUUAACCAGAAAGGGACGGCUAACUACGUGCCAGCAGCCGCGGUAAUACGUAGGUCCCGAGCGUUGUCCGGAUUUAUUGGGCGUAAAGCGAGCGCAGGCGGUUAGAAAAGUCUGAAGUGAAAGGCAGUGGCUCAACCAUCGUAGGCUUUGGAAACUGUUUAACUUGAGUGCAGAAGGGGAGAGUGGAAUUCCAUGUGUAGCGGUGAAAUGCGUAGAUAUAUGGAGGAACACCGGUGGCGAAAGCGGCUCUCUGGUCUGUAACUGACGCUGAGGCUCGAAAGCGUGGGGAGCGAACAGGAUUAGAUACCCUGGUAGUCCACGCCGUAAACGAUGAGUGCUAGGUGUUAGGUCCUUUCCGGGACUUAGUGCCGCAGCUAACGCAUUAAGCACUCCGCCUGGGGAGUACGACCGCAAGGUUGAAACUCAAAGGAAUU
RNAcentral lists this ribosomal RNA (904 nucleotides) under uncultured bacterium. Its description in RNAcentral is "bacterial SSU rRNA". It matches the Rfam family "Bacterial small subunit ribosomal RNA", at positions 33 to 911 of the family's 1533-position model. The record is from RNAcentral.